RNAcentral lists this transfer RNA (71 nucleotides) under Marmota monax (woodchuck). RNAcentral's name for it is "tRNA.Thr". The stretch from base 6 to 66 matches the Rfam family "tRNA", at positions 6 to 65 of the family's 71-position model. Rfam says of the family: Transfer RNA (tRNA) molecules are approximately 80 nucleotides in length. Their secondary structure includes four short double-helical elements and three loops (D, anti-codon, and T loops). The record is from RNAcentral. Lineage: Eukaryota; Metazoa; Chordata; Mammalia; Rodentia; Sciuridae.
GGGGUUGUGGCUCAGCAGUAGAGCGCUCACCUAGUACAUGAAAGGCCCUGGGUUCAAUCCUCAGCACUACA